RNAcentral lists this ribosomal RNA (1181 nucleotides) under metagenome. RNAcentral's name for it is "SSU rRNA". It matches the Rfam family "Eukaryotic small subunit ribosomal RNA", at positions 498 to 1714 of the family's 1831-position model. The record is from RNAcentral.
AUGCUGCACAUCCGGAAUGUGUGACAGGUUAAGCGUGUUGCGAGUAGCUAUUGGAGGGCAAGUCUGGUGCCAGCAGCCGCGGUAAUUCCAGCUCCAAGAGUGUAUAUUAAAGUUGUUGCGGUUGAAAAGCUCGUAGUUGGAUUUAUGCUAUGCUGGUACAGUCGACCCCCUGGGUAGGACUUGUAUUGUUGCAUUGCACACUGUAGAAUUUGUGUAUGUUUUUCAGUAAAUGUGCAGAAUACUACUUAGUUACUUUGAGGAAAGUGGAGUGUCACACGCAGGUUGCGCCGUGAACAUGCUAGCAUGGCAUGACGCUGUAUGACUACGAGUCUUUUUGAACGGUUUCGGGACACGUGGUAAUGAUUGAUAUGAGGUGUUGGGGAUACUCAUAUUUGACAGUUAGAGGUGAAAUUCUUGGAUUUGUCAAAGAUGAACAAAUGCAAUAGCAUUUAUCAUGGAUGUUUCAUUUGAUCAAGAACGAAAGUUAGGGGAUCGAAGACGAUCAGAUACCGUCCUAGUCUUAACCAUAAACUAUGCCAACUGGAAAUUGGAAUAUAUGGAGAGAAAAUAUAUUCAGUAUUGUGCCUGAAAAGAGUAAGUGUGUGGGCUCCGGGGGGAGUAUAGUUGCAAGACUGAAACUUAAAGGAAUUGACGGAAGGGCACCACCAGGAGUGGAGCCUGCGGCUUAAUUUGACCCAACAUGGGAAAUCUCACCAAGUCCAGACAUACGCAGGAUUGACAGAUUAAUUGCUCUUUCUCGAUUGUAUGGGUGGUGGUGCAUGGCCGUUCUUAGUUGGUGGAGUGAUUUGUCUGGUUAAUUCCGUUAACGAACGAGAUCCUAUUCUGCUAACUGUUGCAACAGUCUUUGGAAUGUUGGUACACUUAGAGGGACAUUGCGUGAGUAAUGCACGGAAGAGUCGGGCAAUAACAGGUCUGUGAUGCCCUUAGAUGUCCUGGGCUGCACGCGCGCUACAAUGGCACAUGCCCCAAUGUACCUAUGUCUGACAAGAACAUAGGAUCAAGCAACGAUGCCGUGCCGGGAAUAGAUGAUUGUAAUUUUUUAUCUUGAACGAGGAAUUCCUAGUAAGAACAGAUCAACAAUCUGUGCUGAUUACGUCCCUGCCCUUUGUACACACCGCCCGUCGCUCCUACCGAUUGAGUAAUCCGGUGAAUGGUGACGA